This 58-nucleotide ribosomal RNA is filed under the name Pleurostoma richardsiae. RNAcentral describes it as "partial 28S ribosomal RNA". The record is from RNAcentral. Lineage: Eukaryota; Fungi; Ascomycota; Sordariomycetes; Calosphaeriales; Pleurostomataceae.
ACACCCCAACUCACCAAAGGUUGACCUCGGAUCAGGUAGGAAUACCCGCUGAACUUAA